CAGUCGCCGCGGUAAUACGGAGGGUGCAAGCGUUAUCCGGAUUCACUGGGUUUAAAGGGUGCGUAGGCGGGCAGGUAAGUCAGUGGUGAAAUCUUCGAGCUUAACUCGGAAACUGCCGUUGAUACUAUCUGUCUUGAAUAACGUUGAGGUGAGCGGAAUAUGUCAUGUAGCGGUGAAAUGCUUAGAUAUGACAUAGAACACCGAUUGCGAAGGCAGCUCACUAAACGCUCAUUGACGCUGAGGCACGAAAGCGUGGGGAUCAAACAGGAUUAGAUACCCCGGUAGUCCCUGUCUCUUAUAC
Molecule: ribosomal RNA, 301 nt
Filed under: uncultured bacterium
Lineage: Bacteria
Description: partial 16S ribosomal RNA
Rfam family: Bacterial small subunit ribosomal RNA
Source: RNAcentral